UUAUUUUAUGUAUUUUUUUCUGAAGAUUUAGUAGUAUUCUAAUUUAGAUAAUCGAUCAUGGAUUUUUGCCAGAAUGAGCUACAAGCUCCGGUUAAGGUUAAAGGUAUUUAGAGUCAUGAAGUUCAGGGAAGGGAAUACAGUGGAGGUGUUGAGAACAAAACUGGACCCAUGUGGCUCUUGGUUUACUGG
Telopea speciosissima is the source of this 189-nucleotide long non-coding RNA. RefSeq lists it as uncharacterized. The transcript has 2 exons. NCBI's taxonomy places the organism in Eukaryota, Viridiplantae, Streptophyta, Magnoliopsida, Proteales, Proteaceae. The record is from RefSeq and is a predicted model, not a curated record.